This 74-nucleotide transfer RNA is filed under the name Dermacentor silvarum. Its description in RNAcentral is "transfer RNA isoleucine (anticodon AAU)". It matches the Rfam family "tRNA". From Rfam's summary of the family: Transfer RNA (tRNA) molecules are approximately 80 nucleotides in length. Their secondary structure includes four short double-helical elements and three loops (D, anti-codon, and T loops). The record is from RNAcentral. Lineage: Eukaryota; Metazoa; Arthropoda; Arachnida; Ixodida; Ixodidae.
GGCCUGCUAGCUCAGUCGGUUAGAGCGUCGUGCUAAUAACGCGAAGGUCGUAGGUUCGAACCCUGCGGAGGCCA